GGCUAUGUAGCUCAGUGAUAGAGUGUGUGCUUAGUGUGCACGAGGUCCUGGGUUCAAUCUCCAGUACUUCCA
Molecule: transfer RNA, 72 nt
Filed under: Camelus bactrianus (Bactrian camel)
Lineage: Eukaryota; Metazoa; Chordata; Mammalia; Artiodactyla; Camelidae
Also listed under: 1 other name
Rfam family: tRNA
About the family: Transfer RNA (tRNA) molecules are approximately 80 nucleotides in length. Their secondary structure includes four short double-helical elements and three loops (D, anti-codon, and T loops).
Source: Rfam by way of RNAcentral